This 93-nucleotide non-coding RNA is filed under the name Paenibacillus sp. Its description in RNAcentral is "c-di-GMP sequence". It matches the Rfam family "c-di-GMP-I riboswitch aptamer". From Rfam's summary of the family: GEMM was predicted in a large-scale screen for bacterial structured RNA regulatory elements. Genes associated with GEMM are involved in a diverse array of functions, including chemotaxis regulation, signal transduction, secretion and chitin. Lineage: Bacteria; Bacillati; Bacillota; Bacilli; Caryophanales; Paenibacillaceae. RNAcentral also lists the same sequence under 1 other name. The record is from RNAcentral.
UUUUUUUAAAGGCAAACUUCCCGAAAGGGCAGGACGCAAAGCGAUGGGCCUAAGAAUGUGAGACUAUCCAUUCAUGGUCGCCAGGCUGCCAAU